RNAcentral lists this ribosomal RNA (1274 nucleotides) under Caenorhabditis panamensis. RNAcentral's name for it is "SSU rRNA". It matches the Rfam family "Eukaryotic small subunit ribosomal RNA", at positions 477 to 1803 of the family's 1831-position model. Lineage: Eukaryota; Metazoa; Nematoda; Chromadorea; Rhabditida; Rhabditidae. The record is from RNAcentral.
UAAUAGAAACUCAUCCUUUUGGAUGAGUUAUUUCAAUGAGUUGAAUACAAAUGAUUCUUCGAGUAGCAAGGAGAGGGCAAGUCUGGUGCCAGCAGCCGCGGUAAUUCCAGCUCUCCUAGUGUAUCUCGUUAUUGCUGCGGUUAAAAAGCUCGUAGUUGGAUCUAGGUUACGUGCCGCAGUUCGCAAUUUGCGUUAACUGUGGUCGUGACUUCUAAUUUGCUGGUUUGCGGUUGGGUUCGCCCUUCAACUGCCAGCAGGUUUACCUUGAAUAAAUCAGAGUGCUCAAUACAGGCGCUUGCUUGAAUAGCUCAUCAUGGAAUAAUGAAACAGGACUUCGGUUCUUUUUGUUGGUUCUAGAACUGAUUUAAUGGUUAAGAGGGACAAACCGGGGGCAUUCGUAUCAUUACGCGAGAGGUGAAAUUCGUGGACCGUAGUGAGACGCCCAACAGCGAAAGCAUUUGCCAAGAAUGUCUUCAUUAAUCAAGAACGAAAGUCAGAGGUUCGAAGGCGAUUAGAUACCGCCCUAGUUCUGACCGUAAACGAUGCCAUCUCGCGAUUCGGAGGGUUUUUGCCCUACCGAGGAGCUAUCCGGAAACGAAAGUCUUUCGGUUCCGGGGGUAGUAUGGUUGCAAAGCUGAAACUUAAAGAAAUUGACGGAAGGGCACCACAAGGCGUGGAGCUUGCGGCUUAAUUUGACUCAACACGGGAAAACUCACCCGGUCCGGACACCAUUAGGACUGACAGAUUGAAAGCUCUUUCUCGAUUUGGUGGUUGGUGGUGCAUGGCCGUUCUUAGUUGGUGGAGUGAUUUGUCUGGUUUAUUCCGAUAACGAGCGAGACUCUAGCCUGCUAAAUAGUUGGCGAAUCUUCGGGUUCGUAUAACUUCUUAGAGGGAUAAGCGGUGUUUAGCCGCACGAGAUUGAGCGAUAACAGGUCUGUGAUGCCCUUAGAUGUCCGGGGCUGCACGCGUGCUACACUGGUGGAGUCAGCGGGUUUUUCCUAUGCCGAAAGGUAUCGGUAAACCGUUGAAAUUCUUCCAUGUCCGGGAUAGGGUAUUGUAAUUAUUGCCCUUAAACGAGGAAUGCCUAGUAAGUGUGAGUCAUCAGCUCACGUUGAUUACGUCCCUGCCCUUUGUACACACCGCCCGUCGCUAUCCGGGACUGAACUGAUUCGAGAAGAGUGGGGACUGUGGCUUCGAGGUUUCACGACUUCGUUGUUGCGGAAACUACUUUUAUCGCAUUGGUUUGAACCGGGUAAAAGUCGUAACAAGGUAGC